RNAcentral lists this ribosomal RNA (474 nucleotides) under uncultured bacterium. Its description in RNAcentral is "bacterial SSU rRNA". It matches the Rfam family "Bacterial small subunit ribosomal RNA", at positions 328 to 793 of the family's 1533-position model. The record is from RNAcentral.
CUCUGUGACUCCUACGGGAGGCAGCAGUGGGGAAUAGUUGCACAAUGGGGGAAACCCCUGAUGCAGCCAUGCCGCGUGUGUGAAGAAGGCCUUCGGGUUGUAAAGCACUUUCAGUAGGGAGGAAGGUAGUGUAGUUAACACCUGCAUUAUUUGACGUUACCUACAGAAGAAGCACCGGCUAGCUCCGUGCCAGCAGCCGCGGUAAUACGGAGGGUGCGAGCGUUAAUCGGAAUUACUGGGCGUAAAGCGCAUGCAGGCGGCCUGUUAAGUCAGAUGUGAAAGCCCGGGGCUUAACCUCGGAAUUGCAUUUGAAACUGGCAGGCUAGGGUCUUGUAGAGGGGGUAGAAUUUCAGGUGUAGCGGUGAAAUGCGUAGAGAUCUGAAGGAAUACCAGUGGCGAAGGCGGCCCCCUGGACAAAGACUGACGCUCAGAUGCGAAAGCGUGGGGAGCAAACAGGAUUAGAUACCCUGGUAG